AUACGUAGGGGGCGAGCGUUGUCCGGAAUGAUUGGGCGUAAAGGGCGCGUAGGCGGCCCGGUAAGUCUGGAGUGAAAGUCCUGUUUUUAAGAUGGGAAUUGCUUUGGAUACUGUCUGGCUUGAGUGCAGGAGAGGUAAGUGGAAUUCCCAGUGUAGCGGUGAAAUGCGUAGAGAUUGGGAGGAACACCAGUGGCGGAGGCGACUUACUGGACUGUAACUGACGCUGAGGCGCGAAAGUGUGGGGAGCAAACAGGAUUAGAUACCCUGGUAGUCCACACUGUAAACGAUGAAUGCUAGGUGUAGGGGGUAUCGACCCCUUCUGUGCCGCAGUCAACACAAUAAGCAUUCCGCCUGGGGAGUACGGCCGCAAGGUUGAAACUCAAAUGAAUUGACGGGG
RNAcentral lists this ribosomal RNA (397 nucleotides) under uncultured bacterium. RNAcentral describes it as "partial 16S ribosomal RNA". It matches the Rfam family "Bacterial small subunit ribosomal RNA", at positions 523 to 918 of the family's 1533-position model. The record is from RNAcentral.